GCAUAGUACAAUUGAAGGUUUGGAAAGAUUUAAUGGCCUCCUGCCCUGCAACGCUUGCAGUUCAUUCGUGCACGUACGAGCGCGUUAGUUACCAAAAAAUGAUAAACAAACAGUGUUAAUGAAAAUAGCUUCAAUCUUCUUGUAUGCCCAUGUCAACUAUGUAGCAGGACUUUUCGACGGUUUGCUUCUUCAAAACAGGAGUGUGCAGCCUUCACAACCCACACAGGCAGGGUCCUGUGUAUCAUAAGAUCUAUAUUACUCGCAGCAACAAAGCUGCACAGCGGCGAUUACGCCGUUUUGAACAGAUUCAAAUGCUCGCAUCACAAACGGCUGUCGGAACUAGCGGGAAACCAGCGACCGCGGGCCAAAUCUCCUUUGAAAGCUUCACAAAACUAGUGGAAACACUGGCGAGGACUCCGCAAAAGAAUGGAAAAAAGGUGAAAUUCGUUUUCCGGUCGGUUUCAAGGGCGCUGCAGGGCUUCGAAAUGUAGGAUUCCGGCGGGACAGCCAGGGACCAGGGUUUAUUGCGCUAUCAUCUUCCCUGCAACAUCACCAUAGCAUUCACAAAUCCUUGCUUAAACAAACCAAAAAAAUCCCAUCAGCCUCUGGAAGAGUGUUUGAAUACUGUUUCAGUGGAUCCGAACAGAUCACCCGUAGUGCACCCAUAUACUUGCUCUCGUACGCACUCUUUCUUGUCAGUCAGUAUGUAUGUAGGACGUCAGUGUGCGCUAGUGCGUUACCUUGGGUAAGGGCUGCCCGACAAAACCCAAUCCAACUCUCCUAGUUUAGUUUGAAUUCCCAUUCCAAAGCCGCUGGCCUAUGUUCCGAAACACCGCGCUCUAGGACGAGUGCCCCACAAGUCCAACCCCCCUGUCCCGACCAUCCGAUCAUCCGUCUUAAUCCGUGUGUGUGUGUGUUUUGUCCGUGCGUAUGUCCGCGGCCUUCAGAUCAAGGUUCUCCGGCGCUUUGUCGAGCAGCACGUACCUCGUCGCGAUGGCAACGACUUGUUCCACUUUUACCGCUUGUUGCUACCGGUG
This 1037-nucleotide long non-coding RNA is filed under the name Volvox carteri. RNAcentral's name for it is "long non-coding RNA (VCAR_LNC002302)". Lineage: Eukaryota; Viridiplantae; Chlorophyta; Chlorophyceae; Chlamydomonadales; Volvocaceae. The record is from RNAcentral.